RNAcentral lists this unclassified non-coding RNA (233 nucleotides) under plant metagenome. Its description in RNAcentral is "partial contains small subunit ribosomal RNA, internal transcribed spacer 1, and 5.8S ribosomal RNA". The record is from RNAcentral.
UUUCCGUUGGUGAACCAGCGGAAGGAUCAUUACCGAGUUAUUGUACUCCCAAACCCCUGUGAACUUAUACCUUUACUGUUGCUUCGGUGGGUUAACGCCCCGGAAGGCCCAAAAAGCCGCCUGAACCGGGCGCCCGCCUGGGGACCCAAACUCGUGUAUUUCUUACCUUUGUUGUCUGAGUGUAAUAAUAAACAAAUGAAUCAAAACUUUCAACAACGGAUCUCUUGGUUCUG